UACGUAGGGGGCUAGCGUUGUCCGGAAUCAUUGGGCGUAAAGAGCGCGUAGGCGGCCAGAUAAGUCCGGUGUGAAAGUCACAGGCUCAACCUGUGAAUGCCGCUGGAAACUGUCUGGCUAGAGUCCGGGAGGGGCGAGUGGAAUUCCUGGUGUAGCGGUGAAAUGCGCAGAUAUCAGGAGGAACACCGAUUGCGAAGGCAGCUCGCUGGGACGUUACUGACGCUGAGACGCGAAAGCGUGGGGAGCAAACAGG
This 253-nucleotide ribosomal RNA is filed under the name uncultured bacterium. Its description in RNAcentral is "partial 16S ribosomal RNA". It matches the Rfam family "Bacterial small subunit ribosomal RNA", at positions 524 to 776 of the family's 1533-position model. The record is from RNAcentral.